GCUGAGUCUGAGAAACGCUUGUCUCCCCUCGGCCUUGGUGGUGGACACUGAGGUCCUCCUGUGGGGCCGGGCCAGGGGGUGCCCAAGCAUAGGACGAAGUUCCCAGGAGAGCAUGCUCUGUGAGAAGCCCAGAGGCUCCUGCCCCUCCCCCAGAGUCACCCCCACUCUGUUUUUUCUGUCCUGCAGACACUACCCCAAGCAGUCCUUCACCAUGGUGGCGGACACCCCGGAAAACCUUCGCCUCAAGCAACAGAGUGAGCUCCAGAGUCAGGUGCGCUACAAGGAGGAGUUUGAGAAGAACAAGGGCAAAGGUUUCAGCGUAGUGGCAGACACGCCCGAGCUCCAGAGAAUCAAGAAGACCCAGGACCAGAUCAGUAACAUAAAAUACCAUGAGGAGUUUGAGAAGAGCCGCAUGGGCCCUAGCGGGGGCGAGGGCAUGGAGCCAGAGCGCCGGGAUUCGCAGGACGGCAGCAGCUACCGGCGGCCCCUGGAGCAGCAGCAGCCUCACCACAUCCCGACCAGUGCCCCGGUUUACCAGCAGCCCCAGCAGCAGCCGGUGGCCCAGUCCUAUGGUGGCUACAAGGAGCCUGCAGCCCCAGUCUCCAUACAGCGCAGCG
RNAcentral lists this small RNA (617 nucleotides) under Pan troglodytes (chimpanzee). RNAcentral describes it as "retained intron". Lineage: Eukaryota; Metazoa; Chordata; Mammalia; Primates; Hominidae. The record is from RNAcentral.